GUUUUGGCUGAAAAUAGCUUCUCUGGAGCCUCAUGACUUCCAAGUUCAAGACUCAACAUUGAAGUCAAUGAAAUUAUCUGACACACUGCAGAAAGCCUUAUGGAAAGAUUCCUGCAGCGGACCCUGGAGUAGUGGUGAAUUUCUCCAUCAAGUCUUCUGUGAAGGCUCUACGACAUUUACCUUCCUCAUUCCAGAAUCUAGGCUAAGGAGCAGUCC
Molecule: non-coding RNA, 216 nt
Organism: Leptonychotes weddellii (Weddell seal)
Lineage: Eukaryota; Metazoa; Chordata; Mammalia; Carnivora; Phocidae
Source: RefSeq, a predicted model, not a curated record